GAUGAACGCUGGCGGCGUGCCUAAUACAUGCAAGUCGAGCGAACGGACGAGAAGCUUGCUUCUCUGAUGUUAGCGGCGGACGGGUGAGUAACACGUGGAUAACCUACCUAUAAGACUGGGAUAACUUCGGGAAACCGUAGCUAAUACCGGAUAAUAUUUUGAACCGCAUGGUUCAAAAGUGAAAGACGGUCUUGCUGUCACUUAUAGAUGGAUCCGCGCUGCAUUAGCUAGUUGGUAAGGUAACGGCUUACCAAGGCAACGAUGCAUAGCCGACCUGAGAGGGUGAUCGGCCACAUGGGAACUUAGACACGGUCCAGACUCCUACGGGAGGCAGCAGUAGGGAAUCUUCCGCAACGGGCGAAAGCCUGACGGAGCAACACCGCGUGAGUGAUGAAGGUCUUCGGAUCGUAAAACUCUGUUAUUAGGGAAGAACAUAUGUGUAAGUAACUGUGCACAUCUUGACGGUACCUAAUCAGAAAGCCACGGCUAACUACGUG
This 497-nucleotide ribosomal RNA is filed under the name uncultured bacterium. Its description in RNAcentral is "partial 16S ribosomal RNA". It matches the Rfam family "Bacterial small subunit ribosomal RNA", at positions 28 to 507 of the family's 1533-position model. The record is from RNAcentral.